CGAGAGUGUUGUGUGGAAACUUGAAACUGACCACAAAAAUACAACAUGCAAUGGGCAGCCUUCAUCUCUCUGAUAGUUGUUCUGGUUCGACUGGCUUCAUCAGGACAAUUCUAUUCAGGAAUACUCGUAGCCGACACUGAAACUGCUGAAGAAGGAGAGACGGUAACUUUGAAAUGUUUUGC
Long non-coding RNA from Polypterus senegalus (gray bichir), 182 nucleotides. RefSeq lists it as uncharacterized. The record is from RefSeq and is a predicted model, not a curated record. Lineage: Eukaryota; Metazoa; Chordata; Cladistia; Polypteriformes; Polypteridae. The transcript is spliced from 3 exons.